UACGUAUGGUGCAAGCGUUAUCCGGAUUUACUGGGUGUAAAGGGAGCGCAGGCGGCAUGGCAAGCCAGAUGUGAAAUACCGGGGCUCAACCCCGGGACUGCAUUUGGAACUGUUAAGCUGGAGUGUCGGAGAGGCAGGCGGAAUUCCUAGUGUAGCGGUGAAAUGCGUAGAUAUUAGGAGGAACACCAGUGGCGAAGGCGGCCUGCUGGACGAUAACUGACGUUGAGGCUCGAAAGCGUGGGGAGCAAACAGG
This 253-nucleotide ribosomal RNA is filed under the name uncultured bacterium. RNAcentral describes it as "partial 16S ribosomal RNA". It matches the Rfam family "Bacterial small subunit ribosomal RNA", at positions 524 to 776 of the family's 1533-position model. The record is from RNAcentral.